Diospyros lotus (date-plum) is the source of this 617-nucleotide long non-coding RNA. RefSeq lists it as uncharacterized. The transcript has 3 exons. NCBI's taxonomy places the organism in Eukaryota, Viridiplantae, Streptophyta, Magnoliopsida, Ericales, Ebenaceae. The record is from RefSeq and is a predicted model, not a curated record.
AAAAUUGGGGAAAAGUCCUGGAAAUGAUAUUGAGGCUCAUAGAGCAUACCGGAAGCUCGAGAAUGGGAUUUCGGGCAUGAGAUGGCAGCUCGGGAAGCAUUGUCGGCGUGAGCGAUUGGCCGAUUUUUCCUUCCAAUUGAAUGAGGUUCGACCGGGGAGACGGUGAUCCUAGAGGAACUUGAGGUUCAAGUUGGAAUUCAUGCCGAGGCAGAGAUGAGGCUUCGAGCCAGAUGAUGCAAGUCCGGAUGCAAGCAGGGAUGGCGCCAGGAGGCCGUUGUGGCAACUAGCUGUGUUGCCUGAGUUAUGUAUUUUUAAUAUUGCUUGUAUGUAGCCAGGGGGCGUGGUGUAUGUAUACCCUUGUGAGUAAAUGUUUGUGUUAUUGAGCUUAAAUGUAUUUAAUUAUUGUAAUCAUCAUAGUGUGAUAGAUGAUUGUGAGAUUGCUUGUUGAAUGUGGCAUAGUCAGUAAAGCCAAGUUUCGGACCGAGUCAAGAUCAGCAAGGUAUGUUCUCAUAAAUCUCCAAUACUCAGCGAAGUGUUUGUAUGCUAGCUUUGUGCCUGGGUCACCUCUGGCUUGCUAUGGGGUGAGCUGAAGAGAGGUGAAGCUCACUCGGGUUUCG